ACGCUCGACACCUACGGGAGGCAGCAGUGGGGAAUAUUGCACAAUGGGGGAAACCCGUGAUGCAGCGACGCCGCGUGAGCGAAGAAGUAUUUCGGUAUGUAAAGCUCUAUCAGCAGGGAAGAUCAUGACGGUACCUGACUAAGAAGCUCCGGCUAAAUACGUACCAGCAGCCGCGGUAAUCUGAGCGGGCUGGCAAGGC
This 199-nucleotide ribosomal RNA is filed under the name uncultured bacterium. Its description in RNAcentral is "partial 16S ribosomal RNA". It matches the Rfam family "Bacterial small subunit ribosomal RNA", at positions 328 to 539 of the family's 1533-position model. The record is from RNAcentral.